GAAUUUAUUUUCUUGAAGAGACAUUAACUAGCACCUUUUUCUCCCUCAAACUGACAUUGAAAAAUUUUCUUCUUUGGUAGAAUAAGAUUUGAAUAACCAAAAGUCCGAACAACCAGCAAUGGUAUCAAUUACCGUCGAAGGAUUCAGCCCACAAAAAAAACAGGUGCUUCGAUAAACUAAAAAUGAAAUUAAUUUUAUUUUGUUCUUUCUUCUUACCAGUUCUUUCUUUGUGUCUAUUUCUUAUUUUUAUCCCUAAUAUUGUUGUGGAAGAAUGAUCCAGAAUCGUAGCAAUAGAAUUUUGAUUUGGUGAUGAUUUAGUUUUCUAGAUUUUAGUUUAAUCAUGAUUUUAAUUUUCAGAUAUUGGUUAGAUGCUAACUUUAAUUUUCAGAUUUUAAUUAGGUGGUGAAUUUAGAAUUUUAGGGUUAUGAUUUGGUGGUGAUUUAGUUUUUGAUUUCAAUUUAGUGGUGGUUUGAUGAUUUUAGUGGUGGAUAUGAUUGUUAUGGCAGUGAUAUUGGAGGCUAAAGUGGUGGCAAUGUUAACGGAGAAGAAGAAAGAAAGAAAAAAGAAUAAGGAAAAGAGAAACAAAAAGAAAGAAAAGAAAAACAAAAGAUAAAUGAAAUAAAUAAUGAAUAAAAAGAAAAUGAUAUGGCCUCAUGUGAUUGGUGCGUGUGUGUUAGUUUGUGUGAGUCCACCAAACAGUAGAGUAUCUGGUUCUCUACGAGAUUCUGCUGAGAAUGCGAAUAAAGCAGUACGUAAAUAAGACAGAUGAUUUUUAUGUGGAAACAUCUCACACAAGGGGAUCAAAAAACCACGACCUAUACUUGUAGGCUUUAAGCUUCACUAACUUGUAAAAACCUAUUACAAGCCACUUUGCAAUGACUCCAUUACAAAGAAUUUACUCAACUAACUUGUGGUACUCUUACCACAAGCCAUUUUGUGACUUCCUAGUUACAAAGGCUUUUACUAACUUGUGAUUCUCUCACCACAAGCUACUUUGUAACUCUACGAUUACAAAGAUUUUUGCUUAUGACAUACCUAGUCACAACAUAAACUCAAGGAGUUUAUGGAUUUACAAGAGGAUUCCUAAUNNNNNNNNNNNNNNNNNNNNNNNNNAAGCUAUCUUUUAGGAACUGGUCCGUAGUUGCGUUCAACUUUGUUCUUCAAGCUUGUGAGGAUUGACUUCUCUGUUUUUUGCAAGAAGCUUGAAUGAGAAACUGAAACCUUCAAGUGAUGUUUUGUAUAAACUCAUUGUAGGUACAUCUUGAUCACAUCACUUGAAAUGAUGUGAGCACUUUAGUUGGUCAGAGAAUGAGUGGGCGCUGGAGACAGUGCAGUGCGGCAAAAAUAGUGCAGUCAGUCACUUCAUUUCCAGAUGUGACCAAUUGACUUGUACUGUGAUGAGGAAACCACAAGGGUAUCAGGUCCUUGUUUGGAUUCCUAGCUCCUGAAGCUGUAGCAGUUUCCAUUUAGAUGGAAUUAGUUAAGCUUGCAGUAUAGUCCGAGUAGGUCAGGUUCCCUAUCUGGUUCUUAACAGUAAGUUUGUUAGAUCAUCAAAACAUAAGGCAAGAACAUUUAAAACUUAUCAAUUUCCCCUUUUUGAUGAUGACAUACUUAACAAUUAUAGAGUGGAUUUAGAACAGUAAGAACCGGAUUAUGUAACACGAUAACACAAGUUUUCCCUGACUCUAUCAGGAUAACACAGGUUCCCCCUGAAACACAGGCCCCGUGUUAUUUUUCCCCCUUUUGGCAUCAUUAAAAAAGAAAGAAUAACAGUACAAAGAAGUCCAGAUAAGCUAACUCAAGCCACAUAUGUGCACACAAUCAUGAUAGAGAAUAGAAACACAGAAGGAAAGUACUGGCAUAAUAAAAUAAGGAUUGAUAUUAAUAUAACUUUAAUAUGUCUUUGCUUUGAAAAAGCGAAAGGCAACAUUGGACUUAUUAAAACGUGAGGAGUAGUGUUUCAUCCCAACCACAUAAAAAAGAAAACAAAAACAUCCGCCAAAACAUCAAAGAAAAAAUAACAAACAUUUCUAGAAACUGGUCACUGAAGGGGUACUUAAGGGGCACUAGGAGUAAAGGGCUUGGAAGCUGCAGCAAGUGUUUGCAGAAUGAGGUCUAUUCGGGCAUUUCCUGACUUUUGCUCAUUGAGCAGUUCUGCCUUCAGGUUCUCUACUUGCGCCCUGAGAUCAACAUUCUCCUUUGUCAAAUGAGCCACUUCAUCAUUUGACACCGGAACCCCUUGGGCUUGUUGACUUUCCAAGAUAGCAUUCCUGGACUUCAACCGACUAAUUUCCUUAGUUGCACUGUUCUGAGCAUUAAUAAGCUGUGAGGCGGUUGAUACCCCCCAUUCUUUUCCAUGCACUCGCACUCUUCCAAAGUUGUCUGCGAUAAAGUCUGCUUCCUAGUUCCCACCUUGCCUAUCCCCAGUGGGACUUCAAAGAAUCUGAACAUUUGUGUAACCAGGAACCCAUAGGGAAGACCAUGAUUACCAUUUUUGAAAGUGGCAACCUUUUGCAUGUGCUCAAUCAUAAUAGCAGGAAGACUCACAGGAGUAAAACUGUCCAGUUGCUCCAUCAAGAAUAGGUCAGACUUAGAAGUCACUGACCUCCUCUCAGCUCGAGGCAAUAGAACUUUGUUAACCAAUUCGAACAGCAGCUGAUAGACAGGGAGUAGCACUUUCUUAUGGAUCUGGUCCCCUUUCUGGUUUGCAUUGGUUUUUAUAACAGCAUUUCUGAAAUUAAACUGACACACAUCUUUUACACUGGACACACCAGCUAUAGGAACUUUUAGGAUCUCUCCAAGCAACUUUACAUCGAACAUAAUGUCCACCCCAUUGACCAAGGCACAAAUGUGGUCAGUCUCAACUGGAAAGAAGCUAGCAAAGAAGCUUUGUACCUUAUCCUCGUAUACCUUAGGUGCAUCAGUUUGAAAUAGAUGCGCCCAACAUUGAAACUCAACCAUUUCCAGAAUUUGGCGCAUUCCAGCCAUUUCAGAGAUUGUUGGGUCAAAUGUACGACCCAACAGAACAUUUUGAUGCCUCAAGCGUUCAGAGACAAGGCUGACUUCGCUUCUCAUUCUCUUCACAUAACCAGUGUUUUCAAAAGUUUCAAACUUGCGUUUGUCGGACUUCUCUCCACUGAUUUUUCCUUUUCCUUUGGAUUUGAUUAGCACAUCCUUAUAAGACAUCAAAAACUCACUUACUAACUUCUUCAUCUUGGACCUAGAUAUUGACCCCUUCUCUACUAAAGCAGGCUUCGUCUUUUUUGAAGACCGUCUAACAAGUAAACCAGGUUCAUCUAGGGUUUCCUCUUCGACCUCGACUACAGGGAUCGCCUCAUCACUUACAGGUACAUCGUCUUUCACCAACUUUCUCCUUUUCUUCUUACUACUCUUCUUGCUCUUUUGAAGAGCAGAAUUGUAGGCCACCUUAACUUGAAGCCCGGUAGUAGGUCAUUUGGUUUCAGACUCAGGAGUGGACAUAACCCUCCGCUUGCUUAUGAAUGCAUCAAGAGCCACAUUGUCUAGGUCUUCUUCAUCACUUGAUCUUAUUUCAGGUGCUUGAAUUUCCAAGGGCAUAACAUCGAUUGUAGGAACAACAUUGUCAUGGGAAUGAGAGCCCUGACCUGUGUCCUCCGGAGAGGGAUCAGGUUCCUCAUGUGAUGCCCCAGUAGUAUCUGUGAGUGCAUCCCUUUCAAAAGUUACAACGGCCCUUCUUCCCCCACACCUUAUGCCUCUUUUAUCUGAGAGGUGAUCUCAUGCAGUACACCAUUAGCAGACACUACAAACACGGUUACAACAUUUGUCUCUUCCUCGCAUGGUGCUACCACUACCAUGGAAUUGGUAGUAAUGAUGGCAGAACUCAUUGUAACCUCAGGGUUUUGACCUUGUUCUCCACAUGGUUUUUGAUUGGGGGAGCCUCAGACGAUGGGGAGAACGAAGCAACAGUGUCAAGGGAUUCUGAAUUAGCAAGACACUAGGAAAUUGGGUGAGGUGUAACUGUAGCAGCAGGAGUAAUAGUAGAUAAGGAAGGUUCAGUGGGAGCGGAAGGCUCCAGAGAUUGAUUAGUAGUAGUUACAACUGAGGCAGGGAGAUCAGAAGUUGUCUCAGCCAUUAAAAAAGAAAAGACGAUGUUUUUGGGAAAUUCUAAUGGAAGACUUAUGGUUAGGAGACCAGAAAAUAGGGUUUUUAAAAGGAGAGGAUAAUUAUGAAGAAAGAGGAAUAGGCACCGGUUCUGAAACGGCGGUUAGGCAUAGAGAAUUGCAAUGUUUUAGAGGGAGAUGGAACGAUUUGAAAUGAAGAGACGUGAUAGCAGGAUCAGAAAAGUUGAUGACAUGGCAGUUGUGUUUUAUACCCUUUUUAAGACGUGUAUUAAAGGAUGCACAAAACUACUAACCUUUGGUACAAGAACCAGGUUCUUGACCUUUUUAUUUGAAAUAGUCAAUCCUCUUUUAUCAUGCAAGCACUGCAUCUACAACUUCUAUACUCAUCAUGUGUGUUUACCUGCAAUGGUAUUGAAGUGAGUUAGACAUGGCGAGAAAACACUUUUAGCCAGUUAUUUCUUGAAGGUGAAAGCUAGAUAAAGAGGAAUCAUGUUCUCAAUUGGACUUUAAAAGCCCCAACUUCACUCUGUUUCUUUCAAAUUGUUCCCUACUUAGCGCCUUGGUGAAUAUGUUCGCAAUUUGAUCUUUUGUGCUGCAGAACUUCAUACAUAUCAGCCCUUUCUCCACAUUAUCCCUCAGAAAAUGAUGCCACACAUCAAUAUGCUUUGUCCUUUUGUGUUGAACUAGAUUCUUAGCCAUGUUGAGUGCACUGGUGUUGUCACAUAGAAGGGGCACACUCUCAGUGAGUACCCCAAAGUUCUCCAGUUGCUGCUUGAACCAUAAAAGCUGAGCACAUAAGGAUGUUGUGGCUACAUAUUCAGCUUCAGCUAUUAAAAGAGCCACCGAAUUUUGCUUCCUUGUGCCCCAAGAGAUAAGGCAUGAACUUAAGAAGUGAGCCAUUACAGAAGUGCUUUUCCUGUCCACAAUAUAACCUGCAUAAUUUGUUUCAGCAUGCCCAAUCGGAUUAAAACUGUCACCUGACGGAUAAUACAUUACCAGGUCAUGGUUUGAAAACAAUAUCAGGUCUGCUAGCAGUGAGAUAGAAGAGAGACCCAAUAAUGCCUCUAUACAUGGUUUGAAUCACAUGAGAUCCAGUUUCAUCCAUGUCUAGUCGAGUGGCAGUAGCAAUGGGAGUGUCUAUCACCUUUGAUGCUUCCAUGUCAAACCUCUUCAAGAGCUCCCUGAUGUAUUUUUGUUGACAAAUGGAUAUACCCUUUCGGGACUAUUUUAGUUGAAGACCCAAGAAGAAGUUUAGUUCCCCUAUCAUGCUCAUUUCAAAUUCACUUCCCAUGAGUCUUGCAAAUUCUUCACACAGAGAAUCAGUUGUUGCCCCAAAAAUAAUAUCAUCAACAUAGACCUGAACAGUGAGCAGGUUCCUUCCUCGUUUCUUUAAGAAAAGAGUGUUGUCAAUUUUCCCUCUUUUAAAGCCAUUUUCCAAAAGGAACUUUGACAACCUUUCGUACCAAGCUCAAGGAGCCUACUUUAGCCCGUACAGAGCUUUGUCCAGUUUAAACACAUAUUCAGGGUACUCAUAACAUAUAAACCCUGGGAGUUACUUCACAUAGACUUCUUCCUUAAGGAGUCCAUUCAAAUAUUUACUCUUGACAUCCAUUUGGAAUAAGGUGAAUUCUAUAUGAGAUGCAAAAUCUAAUAGAAUUCUAAUAGCUUCCAUGCGAGCUACUGGAGCAAACGUUUCAUCAUAGUCAAUCCCUUCCUCCUGAUUGUAGCCUUGGACCACUAGUCUGGCCUUGUUCCUUGUGGUAAUCCCAUGUUCAUCGAGCUUGUUUCUGAAUACCCACCUGGUUCCUAUAAUUGUUCGAUCUGGGGGUCUAGGUACCAGGUGCCACACAUUAUUUCUCUCAAACUGAUGUAGCUCGUCUUGCAUGGUUGUAAUCCAAUCUACAUCUUUCAAGGCUUCCUUGAUAUUUUUGGGUUCUAUCUAGGAGAGAAAGACUGAGAAAGCAAGUGAAUUUCUGGCCCUUGACCUAGUUUCUACUCCGGAAUCUAGAGGAGUAAUAAUGUUGUCUAUUGGAUGAGAGCUUGGGUGUCUCCAGUUAGACGCUUGAGGUUCAUUCUGAUAGGAAGAGGGUAUGUUUGACUGAUUUUCUUUUGUCCUUCUUUCAGGUGCUAGUGGAGUUCCCUGAACUGCAUCAACCACCCUUUCUUCAGCUUCAGUAGUUGUAAUUGAGGUGUUUGGUUCUAUUGAACAUGAUGCAGCAUUGUCUUCAUUUAGCUCCUUUACUUGACUAAUCAUAUCUGCCUUUUUGUUUGUCAUGUUAAUGACUUCACCAAGGACUAGUGAGGGUUCUCCAUCUUGAUCUUCCUCAGCACUCUUCUCACAUGAUGGAUAAGACUCAUCAAAAAUAACAUGGACACUUUCCUCAACACAUUGAGUCCUCUUAUUAUAUAUCUUGUAAAUCUUACUUUGAGAUCCUUUCUAUUGUUAAGAACAUAGCAUUUGCACCCAAAUGUUCUUAGGUGGGUCAGCUUUGGUUUCCUUCCAUUUAACAAUUCAUAUGGGGUUUUGUUCAGAAAUAUCUAAUCAUGCACUGUUCACCAAGUAGCAGGCAGUGUUGACAGCUUUAGCCCAGAAGUUCUUUGCAAUUCCACUAUCGAUCAGCAUUGUUCUUGCCAUUUCUUCCAGAGUUCUGUUCUUCCUUUCUACUACUCCAUUUUGCUGGGGAGUUUUAGGAGCUGAAAAGUUAUGAGUGAUGCCAUUUUCAUUGUAGAAUUCAUCAAAUUUGACAUUGUCGAAUUCUGUCCCAUGAUCUGAUCUAAUGCAUGCAACUCUAGACUCCAUCUUCACCUAGAUUUUCUUCACAAAGGCCGCAAACACCUCAAUAGUUUCAUCUUUGGUUCUGAGAAACAGAGUCCAUGUGAAUCUGGAGUAGUCAUCUACUAUCACAAAAAUGUAUCUUUUUCCUCUUCAACUUUGCACUCUCAUAGGUCCAUGCAGAUCCAUAUGCAGAAGCUCUUGGGGCUUUGAGGUUCUCACAUCUCUUUUAGACUUAAAAUAGGACUUCACAUGUUUUCCUCUAGUACAAGCAUCACAGAUUUUUGCAUCUUGAAUUGUGACAUAGGCAGACCAUGAACCAGGUCAUUCUGAAUUAGUUUGUUUAGAAGAGAAAAACUUGCAUGGCCCAGUCUUCUGUUCCAUAGUUUAGCAUCAUCAUCAACAACUUUCAAACACCUCAGAUCACCACUCUGUAAGUACUCAAAAUCAGCAACAUAGAUGUUCUUGUAUCUUUUGGCCACAAGUAUUAUUUCACCGGUCACAAGAUCAGUGACUGUACAUAUUUUGGACAAGAAUUCCACCUUGUUUCCUUUGUCACAGAUUUGAGAGACACACAAGAGACUGUACUUAAGUCCAUUGACAUAGUACACAUUUUCAAUAGAAUGAGUGAGUGACUUUCCAACUUUUCCAACUCCAACAAUGUACCCCUUUUUUCCAUUGCCAAAGGAUACUCCCUCCUUGCAGGGCUUUCAGUGCAAGAAAGUCCGUAGUGUUCCCAGUCAUGUGCUUUGAAAACCCACUAUCCAUGAACCAUUGUUGACCACUUCCUUUCAUUGUUCCCUGCACAAAGGAUUAAGAGUUAGUUUUAGGAACCCAAGCAUGUUUAGGUCCCUUGUAGUAGGCAAGAGGAUGAAUCAGAGUUCUCUUAGUCCAUGUAGGUAAUGUAUGUUUCUUGUGAGUGGUACUUGGUCCCUCUUUUGUAGUCACCUUUUCAGCAAAUACUUUGUUUUUCUGAAUCGAUUGAUUCUUGGCCUGGACAUCUUCCUUAAAGUGCCUAGUGUUCCCACAUUGGGUACAAGGCCAGUCAUCAGAGACAGUGACGUACUUGCUAUGAGGGUUGUGAGGAGUUUUCUACCUUUGGGACCCUAUUCCCUUCCUGUUUUCACAAUCAUUAGUAUGCAAGGCAAUGGUAACUUCUGAGGACCAGGUCCACUUUAGGGACUUUUCAAGAUCAUUAUUUACUCUUUCCAGAUCAGUUUGGAGUUGCUCAUUUUUCUUAAUUUCCGCACACAUCCUAGAUCUUAUAGCUUUCACCUCAUUUUCAAGCCUAAUGUGUUCCUCACUAGCUAUCUCAUUUCCCUUUCCAAAAUUUUCAGGUUUUGACUUAGUCCAUGGUUUCACUAUUGUUUCCCUUAGGUCUAUAAUUUUUGCCAAUAGAUCAUCCUUUUCUUUUCUAAGGAUUUCAAUGGUUUUAUUAUGGUCAGUAACUACAACCACUAAGUCGUCUUUAGUUUGUUCAAAUUCUCCUAAUUCUAAGGUCAAGGAAUCCCUAUCCUCCACAAGACUAUGAAAAACAGUAAUAAAUACUUUAACUAAAAACAUGAGUUUUUUGGGAGAAUAGGAUUUCAGAUUUCUCUGAACAUCCCUGAAAGUUACCUUUUUGUUGUCGUUGUCUUCAUCAUCAUCUAAUUGAGCCAUCAAAGCAAAAGUUAAGUCAUAACCAAUCUCCUCGCCUUCAACUGCCAUCAUGGAACUAUCACCAAUAUCAGGUUCAUCUUCAAACUCAGUAGAGGAAUCCCUCCAUGUUGCAAGAGCAUGUCUGAUCAUAUUGUCAGCAGAUCUUUUUCUCUUGAAGUCCUUGAAAGGAACCGGGUUCGUCUUAGCUGUUUUCUUAUGGUAGUUCUGGGAGAAUUCUUCCUUUAAGAGAGGACAGUCUUUCAUGAAAUGUCCAGGCUUUCCACACUUGUAGCAAAGAUCGCGAUUUUUACUCUGUUUGAGCUGUCCCUUUUUAGCAUUUCUCCAUUUCUUCUAACCAUCUUCUGAAAUCUUUUGUUUAAGUAAGCCAUGUCGCUGUAUUCCUCACUUGAAUCAUUGUUAUCAGCUUUAAGUACCAGGUUCUUUUCCUUAUUUGGUUCUCUUCUUGCACUGUCUAUCUUUCUCUUCAACUCAUAAGUCUUCAAGUUUCCGAUCAACUCUUCUAUGGUCAGCUCCUGUAAGUCCUUUGACUUAGUGAUAUCAUUAACUUUGCUUUCCCAAGAACUAGGAAGAAAACUGAGGAUUUUUCUUACUAGCCUGUUUCUGGGGAUAGUUUCACCAAGUUAGUGUAACUCAUUUAUGAUGGAAGUGAAUCUUGUGUGUAUAUCUUGAAUGGAUUCAUCAUCCCUCAUUUUGAAGAGUUCAUACUCGGUAGUGAGCAUAUCAAUCUUAGACUAUUUUACUUGUGUAGUUACCUCAUGCGCUGUUUGCAAAGUUCUCGUAUCUCCUUCGCAGUGUCGCAGGUAGAGAUUCUAUUGUACUCUUCACGUCCUAUUCCACAUACCAGAAUUUUCUUGGCACGAAAAUUCUCCUCCACAACUUUCUUGUCUGCUUCAGUGUACUCGUUGCUGGUUUUUGCCAUUGAAAAUGGAAAUUCCUCUAGUACCUUGGUUGGAACAUAAGGACUAUCGCAUAUGAUAUCACAUAACUCACAAUCCUCAGCCAUGAUAAAAUCGUGCAUUCUUGUUUUCCACUACCUAUAGUAUUGUCCAUUGAACUUGGGUGGUCGGUAUAUAGAUUGACCUUCUUCAAAAUUUGGUAGAGCAGCCAUGAGGAUCCUUCCUAGGUGUUAGCCUGAUAGGAGAAAACCGCUCUAAUACUAAUUGUUAGUUUGUGUAAGUCCACCAAAUAGUAGAGUACUUGGUCCUCUACGAGAUUCUACUGAGAAUGCAAAUAAAACAGUACGUAAAUAAGGGAGAGGAGUUUUACAUGGAAAAAUCCCAUACAAGGGGAUCAAAAAACCGCGACCUAUACCAGUAGGAUUUAAGCCUCACUAACUUGUAAAACCUAUUACAAGCCAAUUUGCAAUGACUCCACUACAAAGAAUUUACUCAACUAACUUGUGGUACUCUUACCACAAGGCACUUUGUGACUUCCUUGUUACAAAGGCUUUUACUAACUUGUGAUGCUCUCACCACAAGCCACUUUAUAACUCUACGAUUACAAAGAUUUUUGCUUAUGACUAUACCUAGUCACAACAUAAACACAAGGAGUUUACGGAUUUGCAAGAGGAUUCCUAAUCAAACGCUUCUAGCUAAGCAGUUUAGGAGAUACAGUAAGUACAAUCACAAAGUUACAACUCCACUAGGACAACAACAAGCUAUCUUUUAGGAACUGGUUCGUAGUUGCGUUUAGCUUUGUUCUUCAAGCUUGUGAGGAUUGUUUUCUCUAUUUUUUGAAAGAAGCUUGAAUGAGAAACUGAAACCUUCAAGUGAUGUUUUGUAUAAACUCAUUGUAGGUACAUCUUGAUCACAUCACUUGAAAUGAUGUGAGCACUUUAGUUGGUCAGAGAAUGGUGGAUGCUAGAGACAGUGCAGUGCAACAGAAACAGUAUUCAGUCACUUCAUUUCCAGCUAUGACCAAUUGACUUGUGCUGUGAUAAGGAAAGCACAAGGGUAUCAUGUCCUUGUUUGGAUUCCUAGCUCCUGAAGCUGUAACAGUUCUUAUUUUGCUGGAAUUCGUUAAGCUUGCAGUAUAGUCCGAGUAGGUCAACUUCCCUAUCUGGUUCUUAACAGUAGGUUUGUUAGAUCAUCAAAACAUAAGGCAAGAACAUUUAAAACUUAUCAAUUUCCCCUUUUUGAUGAUGACAAACUUAACAAUUAUAGAGUGGAUUUAGAACAGUAAGAACCAGAUUAUGUAACAGGAUAACACAUGUUUCCCCUGACUCUAUCAGGAUAACACAGGUUCCCCCUGAAACACAGGCCCCGUGUUAUUUUUCCCCCUUUUGGCAUCAUUAAAAAGACAAAAUAACAGCACAAAGAAGUCCAUCUAAGCUAACUCAUGCCACAUAUGUGCACACAAUCAUGAUAGAGAAUAGAAACAUAGAAGGAAUGUACUGACAUAAUAAAACAAGGAUUGAUAUUAAUAAAACUUUAAUAUGCCUUUGCUUUGAAAAAGCGAAAGGCAACAUUGGACUUGUUAAAACGUGAGCAUUAAUGUUUCAUCCCAACCAAAUAAAAAAGAAAACAAAAACAUCCGCCAAAACAUCAAAGAAAAAUUAAUAAAUAUUUCUAGAAACUGGUCACUGAAGGGGUACUUAGGGGGCACUAGGAGUAAAGGGCUUGGAAGUUGCAGCAAAUGUUUGGAGAACGAGGUCUAUUCGGGCAUUUCCUGACUUUUUCUCAUUGAGCAGUUCUGCCUUCAGGUUCUCUACUUGCGCCCUGAGAUCAACAUUCUCCUUUGUCAAAUGAGCCACUUCAUCAUGUGACACCGGAACCCCUUGGGCUUGCUGACCUUCCAAGAUAGCAUUCCUGGCCUUCAACCGACUAAUUUCCUCAGUUGCACUGUUCUGAGCAUUAAUAAGUUGUGAGACGGUUGAUACCCCCCCCCAUUCUUUUCCACACCCUCGCACUCUUCCAAUGUUGUCUGAUAUAAAGUCUACUUCCUAGUUCCCACCUUGCCUAUCCCUAGUGGGACUUCAAAAAAUCUGAACACUUGUGUAAGAAAGAACCCAUAGGGAAUGCCAUGAUUACCAUCUUUGAAAGUGGAAACCUUUUUCAUGUGCUCAAUCAAAAUAGCAGGCAGACUCACAGGAGUAAAAUUGUCCAGUUGCUCCAUUAAGAAUAGGUCAAACUUAGAAGUCACUAACCUCCUCUCAGCUCGAGGCAAUAGAACUUUGUUAACCAAUUCAAACAACAGCUGAUAGACAGGGAGUAGCGCUUUUUUAUGGAUGUGGUCCCCUUUCUGGUUUGCAUUGGUUUUUACAAUAUCAUUUCUGAAGUUAAACUGACACACAUCUUUUACACUGGACACACCAGCUGUAGGAACUUUUAGGAUCUCUCCAAGCAUUCAGAGACAUGGCUGACUUCACUUCUCAUUUUCUUCGUAGAACUAGUUUUUUCAAAAGUUUCAGACUUGCAUUUUUUGGACUUCUCUCCACUGAUUUUUCCUUUUCCUUUGGAUUUGAUUAGCACAUCCUCAUCAGACAUCGAAAACUCACUUACCACCUCAUUCAUCUUGGACCUAGAUAUUGACCCCUUCUCUACUAAAGUAGGCUUCGUCUUUUUUGAAGACCGUCUAACAAGUGAACCAGGUUCAUCUAGGGUUUCCUCUUUCACCCCAACUACAGGGAUCACCUCAUCACUUACAGGUACACCGUCUUUCACCAACUUUCUCCUUCUCUUCUUACUACUCUUCUUGCUUUUUUUAAGAGCAGAAUCGUAGGCCACCUUAACUUGAAGCCUGGUAGUAGGUCAUUUGGUUUCAGACUCAGGAGUGGACACAACCCUCCACUUGCUUAUGAAUGCAUAAAGAGCCACAUUGUCCAGGUAUUCUUCAUCACUAGAUCUCAUUUCAGGUGCUUGAUUUUCCAAGGGCACAACAUCGAAUGCAGGAACAACAUUGUCCUAAGAAUGAGAGCCCUGACCUGGGUCCUCCGGAGAGGGAUCAGGUUCCUCAUGUGAUGCCCCAGUAGUAUCUGCUAGUGCAUCUCCUUCAACAGUUACAACGGCCCCUUCUUCCCCCACACCUUGUGCCUUAUUUUUCUGAGAGGUGACCUCAUGCAGUACACCAUUAGUAGACACCACAAACAUGGUUACAACAUUUGUCUCUUCAUCACAUGGUGCUACCACUACCAUGGAAUUGGUAGUAACGAUGGCAGAACUCGUUGUGACCUCAGGAUUUUGACCUUGUUCUCCACUUGGUUUUUGAUGGGGGGGAGCCUCAGACGAUGGGGAGAACGGAGCAGCAGUGUCAAGGGUUUCUAAAUUAGGAAGAGACUAGGAGACUGGGUGAGGUGUGACUAUAGCAGCAGGAGUAACAGUAGAUAAGGAAGGCUCAGUGGGAGCGGAAGGCUCCAGAGAUUGAUUAGUAGUAGUUACAACUGAGGCAGGGAGAUUAGAAGUUGUCUUAGCCAUUAAAAAAGAAAAGACGAUGUUUUUGGGAAAUUCUAAUGGAAGACUUAUGGUUAGAAGAGCAGAAAAUAGGGUUUUUAAAAGGAGAGGAUAAUUAUGAAGAGAGAGGAAUAGGCAACGGUUCUUAAAUGGUGGUUAGGCAUGGAGAAUUGCAAUGUUUCAGAGGGAGAUGGCACGAUUUGAAAUGAAGAGACAUGAUAGCAGGAUUUGAAAAGUUGAUGACAUGGCAGUUGUGUUUUGUACCCUUUUUAAGAUGUGUAUUAAAGGAUGCACAGAACUACUAACCUUUGGUACAAUAACCAGGUUCUUGACCUUUUUAUUUGAAGGAGUCAAUCCUCUUUUAUCAUUCAAGCACUGCAUCUACAGCUUCUAUACUCAUCAUGCGUGUUUACCUGCAACGGUAUUGAAGUGAGUUAGACAUGGCCAAAAAACACUUUUAACCAGUUAUUUCUUGAAGGUGAAAGCUAGAUAAAGAGGAAUCAGGUUCUUAAUUGGGCUUUAAAAGCCCCAACUUCACUAUGUUUCUUUCAAACUAUUCCCUACUUAGUGCCUUGGUGAAGAUGUCUACAAUUUGAUCUUCUGUCCUGUAGAACUUCAUACAUAUCAGCCCUUUCUCCACAUUGUCCCUCAGAAAAUGAUGCCUCACAUAAAUAUGCUUUGUCCUUUUGUGUUGAACUGGAUUCUUAGCCAUGUUGAGUGCACUGGUGUUGUCACAUAGAAGGGGCACACUCUCAGUGAGUACCCCAAAGUCCUCUAGUUGCUGCUUGAACCAUAAAAGCUGAGCACAUCAGGAUGUUGCGGCUACAUAUUCAGCUUCAGCUAUUGAAAGAGCCACCGAAUUUUGCUUCCUUGUGACCCAAGAGAUAAGGCAUGAACCUAAGAAGUGAGCCAUUCUAGAAGUUUUUUUCCUGUCCACAAGAUAACCUGCAUAAUCUGCAUCAGCAUACCCAAUCAAAUUAAAACUGUCACCUGACGGUAAUACAACACUAGGUCAUGUGUUCCUUUGAGAUAUCUCAGUAUUCUUUUGGCAGCCUUCAAGUGAGAUUCCUUGGGAUUUGAUUGAAACCUUGCACACAGCCCCAUACUGAAAACAAUAUCAGGACUGCUGGCUAUGAGAUAGAGGAGAGACUCAAUAAUGCCUCUAUACAUGGUUUGAUUCACAUGGGAUCCUGUUUCAUCCAUGUCAAGUCGAGUGGCAGUAGCAAUGGGAGUGUCUAUCACCAUUGAUGCUUCCAUGUCAAACCUCUUCAAGAGCUCCCUGAUGUAUUUUUGCUGACAAAUGGAUAUACCCUUUGGGGACUGUUUUACUUGAAGACCCAAGAAGAAGUUCAGUUCCCCCAUCAUGCUUAAUUCAAAUUCACUUCCCAUGAGUCUUGCAAAUUCUUCACACGAAGAAUCAGCUGUUGCUCCAAAAAUAAUAUCAUCAACAUAGACCUGAACAAUGAGCAGGUUCUUUCCUCAUUUUUUUAAGAAAAGAGUGUUGUCAAUUUUCCCUCUUUUAAAGCCAUUUUCCAGAAGGAACUUUGACGACCUUUCAUACCAAGCUCAAGGAGCCUGUUUUAGCCCGUAUAGAGCUUUGUCCAGUUUAAACAUAUAUUCAGGGUGCUCAUGACAUUUAAACCCUGGGGGUUACUUCACAUAGACUUCUUCCUUAAGGAAUCCAUUCAAAAAUGCACUCUUGACAUCCAUUUGGAACAAGGUGAAUUCUAUAUGAGAUGCAAAAGCGAAUAGAAUUCGAAUAGCUUCCAUGCGAGCUUCUGGAGAAAACGUUUCAUCAUAGUCAAUCCCUUCCUCCUGAUUGUAGCCUUGGACCACUAGCCUGGCCUUGUUCCUUGUGGUAAUCCCAUGUUCAUCGAGCUUGUUUCUGAAUACCCACCUGGUUCCUAUUAUGGUUCGAUCUGGGGGUCUAGGUACCAGGUGCCACACAUUAUUUCUCUCAAACAGAUAUAGCUCAUCUUGUGUGGCUGUAACCCAAUCUGCAUCUUUCAAGGCUUCCUUGAUGUUUUUGGGAUCUAUCUGGGAGAGAAAGGCUGAGAAAGCAAGUGAAUUUCUUGCUCUUGACCUAGUUUCUACUCCGGAAUAUAGAGGAGUAAUAAUGUUGUCUAUUGGAUGAGAACUUUGGUGUCUCUAGUUAGACGCAUGAGGUUCAUUCUGAUAGGAAGAGGGUAUGUUUGGCUGAUUUUCUUCUGUCAUUCUUUCAGGUGCUAGUGGAGUUCCCUGAACUGCAUCAACCACCCUUUCUUCAUCUUCAGUGGUUGUAAUUGAGGUGCUUGGUUCUAUUGAAGAUGAGGCAGCAUUGUCUUCAUUUAGCUCCUUUAGUUGACUCAUCAUUUCUGCCUUUCCGUUUGUCUUGUUAAUGACUUCACCAGGGACUAGUGAGGGUUCUCCAUCUUGAUCUUCCUCGGCACUCUUCUCACAUGAUGGAUAAGACUCAUCAAAAAUAACAUGGACACUUUCCUCAACACAUUGAGUCUGCUUAUUAUAUAUCUUGUAAGCCUUGCUUUGAGAAGAGUAUCCCAGAAAUAUUCCUUCAUCACUCUUGGCAUCGAAUUUACCAAGCUGAUCCUUUCCAUUGUUGAGAACAUAGCAUUUGCACCCAAAUGUUCUUAGGUGAGUUAGCUUGGGUUUCCUUCCAUUUAACAGUUCAUAUGGGGUUUUGUUCAGAAGUGAUCUGAUCAUGCACCUGUUCACCAAGUAGCAGGCAGUGUUGACAGCUUUAGCCAAGAAGUUCUUUGCAAUUCCACUGUCAAUCAACAUUGUUCUUGCCAUUUUUUCCAGAGUUCUAUUCUUCCUUUCUACUACUCCAUUUUGCUGGGGAGUUCUGGGAGCUGAGAAGUUAUGAGUGAUCCAUUUUCAUUGCAAAAUUCAUCAAAUUUUACAUUGUCGAAUUCUGUCCCAUGAUCUGAUCUAAUGCAUGCAACUCUAGACUCCAUCUUCACCUAGAUUUUCUUCACAAAGGCCACAAACACCUCAACAGUUUCAUCUUUGGUUCUGAGAAACAGAGUCCCUGUGAAUAUGGAGUAGUCAUCUACUAUCACAAAAAUGUAUCUUUUUCCUCCUCUAUUUUGCACUCUCAUAGCUCCACGCAGAUCUAUAUGCAGAAGCUCUAGGGGCUUUGAGGUGCUCACAUCUCGUUUAGACUUAAAAGAGGAAUUCACAUGUUUUCCUCUAAUACAGGCAUCACAGACUUUUUGCAUCUUGAAUUGUGACAUAGGUAGACUAUGGAUCAGGUCCUUCUGAAUUAGUUUGUUUAGAAGAGAAAAACUUGCAUGGCCCAGUCUUCUGUUCCAUAGUUCAGCAUCAUCUUCAACAGCUUUCAGACACCUCAGAUCACCACUCUGUAAGGACUCGAAAUCAGCAACAUAGAUGUUUUAAUAUCUUUUGUCCACAAGUAUUAUUUCAUCGGUCACAAGAUCAGUGACUGUACAUAUUUUGGACAAGAAUUUCACUUUGUUUCCUUUGUCACAGAUUUUAGAGACACACAAGAGACUGUACUUAAGUCCAUUGACAUAAUACACAUUUUCAAUAGAAUGAGUGAGUGACUUCCCAACUUUUCCAACUACAAGAAUGUACCCCUUUUUUCCAUUGCCAAAGGAUACAUUCCCUCCUUGCAAGGCUUUCAGUGAAAGAAAGUCCGUAGUAUUCCCAAUCAUGUAUUUUGAACACCCACUAUCCAUGAACCAUUGUUGACCACUUCCUUUCAAUGUUCCCUGCACAAGAGAUUAAGAGUUAGUUUUAGGAACCCAAGCAAGUUUAGGUCCCUUGUAGUAGGCAAGAGGAUGAAUCAGAGUUCUCUUAGUCCAUGCAGGUAAUGUACGUUUUUUAUGAGUGGUACCUGGUCCCUCUUUUGUAGUCACCUUUUCAGCAAACACUUUGUUUUUUUGAAUCGAUUGAUUCUUGGCCUGGACAUCUUCCAUGAAGUGCCUAGUGUUCCCACAUUGGGUACAAGGCCAAUUAUCAGAGACAGUGACGUACUUACCGUGAGGGUUGUGAGGAGUUUCUACCUUUGGGACCCUAUUCUUUGCCUGUUUUCACAAUCAUUAGUAUGCAAGGCAGUGGUAACUUCUGAGGACCAGGUCCACUUUAGGGACUUUUCAAGAUCAUUAUUUACUCUUUUCAGAUCAGUUUGGAGUUGCUCGUAUUUCUCAAUUUCCACACACAUCCUAGAUUUUAUAGCUUUCACCUCAUUUUCAAGCCUAAUGUGUUCCUCACUAGCUAUCUCCUUUCCCUUUCCAAAAUUUUCAGGUUUUGACUUAGUCCAUGGUUUCACAGUUGUUUCCCUUAGGUCUAUAAUUUUUGCCAAUAGAUCAUCCUUUUCUUUUCUAAGGAUUUCAAUGGUUUUCUUAUGGUCAGUAACUACAACCACUAAUCGUCUUUAGUUUGUUCAAAUUCUCCUAAUUCUAAGGUCAAGGAAUCCCUAUCCUCCACAAGACUAUGAAAAGCAACGAUUAAUACAUUAACUAAAAACAUGAGUUUUUUGGGAGAAUAGGAUUUCAGAUUUCUCUGAACAUCCCUGAAAGUUACCUUUUUGUUGUCGUUGUCUUCAUCAUCAUCUAAUUGAGCCAUCAAAGCAAAAGUUAAGUCAUAACCAAUCUCCUCGCCUUCAACUGCCAUCAUGGAACUAUCACCAAUAUCAAGUUCAUCUUCAAACUCACUAGAGGAAUCCCUCCAUGCUGCAAGAGCAUGUCUCAUCAUAUUGUCAGCAGAUCUUUUUCUCUUGAAGUCCUUAAAAGGAACCGGGUUCAUAUUAGCUAUUUUCUUAUGGUAGUUCUAGGAGAAUUCUUGCUUCAAGAGAGGACAGUCUUUCAUGAAAUGUCCAGGCUUUCCACACUUGUAGCAAAGAUCACGGUUUUUGGUCUGUUGGAGCUGUCCCUUUUUAGCAUUUCUCCAUUUCUUCUGACCAUCUUUUGAAAUCUUUUGUUUAAGUAAGCCAUGUCACUGUCUUCCUCACUUGAAUCAUUGUUAUCAGCUUUAAGUACCAGGUUCGUUUCCUUCUUUGGUUCUCUUCUAGCACUGUCUAUCUUUCUCUUCAACUCAUAGGUCUUCAAGUUUCCGAUCAGCUCUUCUAUGGCCAGCUCCUGUUAGUCCUUUAACUCAGUGAUAUCAUUAACUUUGCUUUCCCAAGAACUAGGAAGAAAACUGAGGAUUUUUCUUACUAGCCUGCUUCUGGGAAUAGUUUCACCAAGUGUGUGUAACUCAUUUAUGAUGGAUUUGAAUCUUGUGUGCAUAUCUUGAAUGGAUUCAUCAACCCUCAUUUUGAAGAGUUCAUACUCGGUAGUGAGCAUAUCAAUCUUAGACUAUUUUACUUGUGUAGUUCCCUCAUGCGCUGUUUGCAAAGCUUCCCAUAUCUCCUUCGCAGUGUCGCAUGUGGAGAUUCUAUUGUACUCUUUAGGUCCUACUCCACAUACCAGAAUUUUCUUGGCACGAAAAUUCUCCUCCACAACUUUUUUGUCUGCUUCAGUGUACUCUUUGCUGAUUUUUGCCAUUGAAAAUGGAAGUUCCUCUAGUACCUUGGCUGGAACAUAAGGACUAUCGCAUAUGAUAUCCCAUANNNNNNNNNNNNNNNNNNNGUAGNGCAGCCAUGAGGAUCCUUCCUAGGUGUUAGCUUGAUAGGAGAAAACCGCUCUGAUACCAAUUGUUAGUUUGUGUGAGUCCACCAAAUAGUAGAGUACCUGGUCCUCUACGAGAUUCUACUAAGAAUGCAAAUAAAGCAGUAUGUAAAUAAGGCAGAGGAUUUUUACAUGGAAAAAUCCCAUACAAGGGGAUAAAAAAACCGCGACCAAUACCUGUAGGCUUUAAGCUUCACUAACUUGUAAAACCUAUUACAAGCCAAUUUGCAAUGACUCCACUACAAAGAAUUUACUCAACUAACUUGUGAUGCUCUCACUACAAGCCACUUUGUAACUCUACGAUUACAAAGACUUUUGCUUAUGACAAUACCUAGUCACAACAUAAACUCAAGGAGUUUACGGAUUUACAAGAGGAUUCCUAAUCAAGCGCUUCUAGCUAAGCAGUUUAGGAGAUAUAGUAAGUACAAUCACAAAGUUACAACUCCACUAGGACAACAACAAGCUAUCUUUUAGGAACCGAUCCGUAGUUGCGUUCAACUUUGUUCUUCAAGCUUGUGAGGAUUGACUUCUCUGUUUUUUGCAAGAAGCUUGAAUGAGAAACUGAAACCUUCAAGUGAUGUUUUGUAUGAACUCAUUGUAGGUACAUCUUGAUCACAUCACUUGAAAUGAUGUGAGAACUUUAGUUGUUCAGAGAAUGAGUGGGCGCUGGAGACAGUGCAGUGCGGCAGAAACAGUGCAGUCAGUCACUUCAUUUCCAGUUGUGACCAAUUGACUUGUACUGUGAUGAGGAAACCACAAGGGUAUCAGGUCCUUGUUUGGAUUCCUAGCUCCUAAAGUUGUAGCAGUUCUCCUUUAGCUGGAAUUCGUUAAGCUUGCAGUAUAGUCCGAGUAGGUCAGGUUCCCUAUCUGGUUUUUAGCAGUAAGUUUGUUAGAUCAUCAAAACAUAAGGCAAGAACAUUUAAAACUUAUGAGUGUGUUUCACAUAUUUUUGUGAAACUGAUGCUUAUGAAAAAAGGGGAAUUUAUUUACUUUAAACAACAUCAGGGGGGUCAUGGGACCCCCGCAAAGUUAAAGGGUGCAUAUGGUAAAACAGGACAACUCUAAGGGGGUAAUUAUGUAUUAUCCCAUUAAUAUUUAAUGGAACAUUUUCUAGUUUAUUCUACAUGUGAUCCAAUGGAACAGUGUCCAAUGAACUCAACAAAUGCACAUAAGUUUGUUCAAGGAAUUAGCUCACUCAUGCAGUGGUAUACAAGGUUAUGAUGAAGAGAAGCUACAAAUUUUCCCAAAAAAAAAUUCAAUAAAACAGUGUACAAAACUUGCCUGUUUGGUCAUAGAUUUUGCCAAAAUAUAUUUGGUUUUUUUUUGGCAAAUCCAUGUUUGUUCAUAAAUUUUAUCUACAUUUUGGCAAAUUCCCAAAUCCCAAAAUCAGCUUAAGAGAUGAUUUUGGACCAAAAUAUCACUAUUACAUUUUUUUAAAAAUGGCCCCAAACUUUUGUAUUUUAUAAAAGAGCCCACCAUUUUAUUAUUUUGUAACAAUGCUAAUUCGUCUUUUCGGUCAUCUGAUAGUCUAUUAUUUAGUUCAUUAUAAAAAUGAUAAUUUUGUACCAAAUUUAUUUAUGUUAAGGACUAUGGUUUGCGAUAAUAUAAUUAAUGUUAUUGAUAAAGGUACUGUUGGGUAUUUGUGAUAGUUUUUUGAACUUGUGGGUAUAAGUAAUGUUUCAUGUUUUUUCAAAAAAAAAAGUGAAAUAUGUUUUGAAAACUUAUGUCCAAACACAUUUUCAUCUUCAAAACAAACUUCACCCAAAUCAGAUUUUCAAAACAAAUUUGGGAAUCUAUGGCCAAACGCUAACUAACAAGCUUGAGAAUGGACUAUUUGCAGCAAAUUAUACGUUCAGUUUUGAUAUGGUUUCAAUAUGCUAUGAGGAGAAUAAGAAGUUGUCCAAUUUGGCUAUUUCAUUCUGCAGUUUGUAGUGGUCACAAGGCAUCAAGUGUGAAGCUUUUUCUAUGUUAAGCUUUGGCUAUAGUUUUAGACUAGUUUUUUUUUACGUAUUCUAUGUUAUUCAUUCUAGAUCAAUGUGUAAUAUCAAAAUAAAGUAUCAAAAUGCUCUAUUUCAUAAUAGGUCUUAUGCAAGUUUUGGACUUUCAGCUAUUAUACUGUCUUCAUGUAAGACUAUAUUUUCAAAAAUAUAAAAAAAUUAACCCUAGGAAUUAUGCCUAGCAAAUAUGCGGUUAAAAAAAUAAUGGGCCGAAAAAUAUUAUCUACAUAUUGUCGGUAAGCUCUCAAUGAGCUCUAUAAAAGCCCUAAGAUUUCCCGCAAAAACUAGGCAUUUACAUACAUGAUAUAUUGCAAAAAUGAUUCAAAACUACAUACUAAACCCUAGUUUGCAUGUAUUGCAUAUAAAUCACGUAAACAACAGGAACACAAAUCUAUGGCUCUGAUACUAAUGAUAUAUUUAACCGUAAAAUACCAGUUUCAAAGAUUAUGGUUUCUCCUUUGCAAAAGCGGAUCUGCAAUAAGCACAACUUGUGUCACCGGUCGUUGAGAAUCCUCACAAAGAGGAUUAACUCCCUCUAUCCACACCUUACUAAUCCUCACAGAUAGAUCUUGUUUUAUAUAAAAAUCCUAGUCAUUUCUAUUAUAACGAAAAAGUCACAUCUUAAACACUCAUAAUGGUGUUUAUAUAGGCUAUCUCUAGGAUUUUAUGUGGAGAAAUAAAUAAUGGGCUCAUGGGCUAUCUAACACCCCUUAUGGGUGGAUCCGACCCAAUAAUAUUCUUCCAAUAGAAAAAAACCAUGAUCAAAUUAUCCAAGCAUCACAGAAUUAAACAAACAAUAAAAUAAAUAAUGAGUCUUAAGUUUACAAUAGUUUUACCACAAGGCAGCACUUGUAGACCCUAACAAAGGAGGAAACCUAGGAAGAAAAUAAGAAAUAAUUUAUUUACGUGCGAAUGUUAGAUACCGAUGGGGCAGUCAAAGCAUCAACUAAUAAUGUUGGGCUUGGGGGGGUGUUCAGAGAUACAAAUGGGGAUUGGGUGAUGGGCUAUGCGGGAAACUAUCCCAAAACAAACGUCACUAACAUAGAACUCAUGGCACUGUUUCGAGGAUUACAACUAGCAGCAGCUCACAACCUGACACCACUACAAAUUCACAUGGACGCCAAAGAGGUAAUUACCAUGUUUACUAGUACAUCCACAAUACAUACACUACAAUACACUCACAUUUGCUUAAUGAUUGCAGAUCCCUGAUCCAGACUCCAG
Molecule: long non-coding RNA, 21768 nt
Filed under: Nicotiana tabacum (common tobacco)
Lineage: Eukaryota; Viridiplantae; Streptophyta; Magnoliopsida; Solanales; Solanaceae
Description: long non-coding RNA (NTAB_LNC000369)
Source: RNAcentral